RNAcentral lists this long non-coding RNA (35654 nucleotides) under Solanum tuberosum (potato). RNAcentral's name for it is "long non-coding RNA (STUB_LNC007236)". Lineage: Eukaryota; Viridiplantae; Streptophyta; Magnoliopsida; Solanales; Solanaceae. The record is from RNAcentral.
UUUUUUUUUUUUUCCUCCUCGGGCUCUUUUUUUUCUCUCUAUAUUAUGUUCUCCAUUUUUUUCCGUAUAAAUUAUUUGUGGUAAAGAGGAAAUAUAACCAUUGUCAUUUAUAAAUACAAUUGAAAAAAUAUUUCAAAUUGUUCAUGUGCUUUAUCAAAAGGGAAAAUGGUCUGAUAUACCCCUCAACUUUGUCAUUUAGAGCUGAUAUAUCCUUCGCUAUGAAAGUGGCUCAUAUAUACCCCUAUUGUUAUACAAAUGGUUCACAUAUACUCUUUCCUCUAACGGAAGUGAAAAAGUUAAUUUUAAUUUAGUUUUUUUAAUUAUUUUUUUGAGAAAACAAUAAUCAAUAUGGGGUAUAUUUGAUCUUCCUAACACAUAUUUUUUUUUUACUUUUUUGUUCCAAUGACUAAUUUAAAUAUAUUAUUUUGAUGGUCAAAUUUAUUUAUGUUUCACUAAUUUUCUUGUGAAAUUUAUUAUAGAUGCCCAUUUUUUUUACAAAUACAAAACUAAAUUACAAUAUAGCCGUACAAAAAUUAGUUUUAAAUUUUUUCCGUACACUAAAGAAUGAAAGAAAAAAAUAAUGAGAAACUCGAAUAAUGAUAAUCAAAGAAGUCAAAAAAUAAUUUUUGUAUGAAAAAAGAUUAAAAUAUAUCUUGAACUUUGCUAGAAGGAUCAUAUAUAUAUACCCCCACAUGGACUUUUAAAAAAAUUAAAGUCAAAAAAAUAAAUUUAAAACUAAUUUUUUCACUUCCAUUAGAUGAAAGGUAAUGUGAGCUCCUUUUGUAACUGUAAGGGUAUAUGUGAGUCAUUUGUAUAACGGUAAGGGUACAUAUGAGCCACUUUCAUAACGAGGGGUAUAUCAUCUCUAAAUGUCAAAGUUAAGGGGUAUAUCAAACCCUUUUCCCUUAUCAAAAUUAUAUAUUUUUAAAAGGGAAAAAGACAAAUAUGCCCCCGAACUAUCGUAAAUGGUAUGCAGAUACCCUCCGUCAUACUUUUGGGACAUUGGUGCCCAUGACGUCUAAAAACUAGAGCAUAUGCCCUUUAUACUAACAGACAUACAUGUAUCAUAAUCUCAUCCACCGAUUCGGCAUUUAUUAAAUAUCAGAUCGACGGAUAAGAUUGUGUCACGUGUUCCUAUUUAGUCUUCCGUUAGAGUGAAUGGCAUAUAUGCUCUAGUUUUUGGAUGACAGGGGCACUUAUGUCCCAAAAGUAUGACGUAGAGUAUCUGCAUACCAUUUACGAUAGUUUGAAGGUAUAUUUUUUCCUUUUUUCCUUUUUAAAAUUAAAAAUAACUUACACAUAUAAAUUAAUUUAUAAUGAGGUUGAAAAGUAAAAAUUUAUAAUUAGCAUUUUAUAAUGUUUAACAAUUUUAAGAGUAUUUUAACAAAAAAAUGUAUAACAAUACUUAUGGACCAAACACAUGAUCAACUUUUUUUUAGUUCAACACUUCUAUUCAAACACCUAACUGUUUUUUAAAAAAAAAAGUUUCAGCACUUUUAAAAAAUCAUUGUUUUCAAUCAAUCCAAACAUGCUCUUAGUAUCCUAACUUAUAACUUUUGACUUUAAAAGUUAUUUUCACUUAAAACAAAUACAUUAAAAUUAUUUUUAUAUUACUGAGACAUUACAAAAAUGCUUUAAAACUUUUCUUUUUUUAAAACUUACAUACUUUUCUUUAAACUCUGAAAGAUAAAAUAGGUCUUUAAAAUGGGAAAAAGAAGUUAAAAAAUAAAAAAGGAAAAAGUAGUGGUUGGGGAGAAAGGGGAGCGCAGCUUUCAGCAUUAGGGCAACGAAAAAAAUUCUUUCAGUCAUUUGGUUGAACAGUUUGAUGAUGAAAUAUAGACUUGUAAUUUCCUUGUUCCUUCGUGGUCAUCUCACUCCCAAUUUGCCAUCUUUUCUUCUUCGAUCCACCAGUGGUGUUUUCGUUCCCCAUGCUAGUUUCCUACAUGGUGCUCUCUCAAGGUCUACUUCUGGAAUCAGGUUCUCUACUUUUACUUCCUCAAGCAAUUCACAUGAUGGCAGUGAUUAUGAACAUGAAGAUACUACUGAUACUGACCCUUCACUAGAUUAUAACGAACUAUAUUCUGAUUUUUCCAAAGAAGAUGUUGAAACAAUUGAAGCCAUUUUCAAACAACCCGGAACCCAUGUGCAUAACAAACUUGAGCAAUGUGGUGUAAGGCCCACACGCAAUCUAGUUACUGUCAUUCUUUCUCGUGCACGAAAUAAUUGGGAAGUUGCAUUCACUUUCUUCAUAUGGGCCAGUAAACAAACAGGUUAUGUGCACUCUGUGCGUCAAUACCAUUCUAUGAUAUCUAUACUUGGAAAAAUGAGGAAGUUUGACACUGCAUGGUCACUCAUUGAGGAAAUGAGAGGUGGUAAAGAUAGACCAUCUCUUGUGAAUCCUCAGACACUCUUGAUCAUGAUAAGGAAAUACUGUGCUGUACAUGACGUCGGAAAAUCUAUCAGUACUUUUUAUGCAUUUAAACGGUUUAAUUUAGAUAUUGGAAUGGAAGAAUUUCAAGACCUUUUGUCUGCCCUUGCUCGCUACAAAAAUGUAAAAGAUGCCGAGCACUUGCUUUUUUGCAAUAAGAAUGUUUUCCCGUUGAAUACCAAGAGUUUGAAUAUCAUUCUCAAUGGAUGGUGUCUUGCCCUUGAUGAUUUAAGUGAGGGAAAGAGGAUUUGGAGGUUGAUGAAGGAAAAAAGGAUUCCUCGUGAUAUUUUUUCGUAUUGUAGUAUCAUGUCUUGCUAUUCGAGGGCUGGUAGACUCAAUGUUGUGCUUAAGCUUUUCGAUGAGAUGAAAUUGUGUGGGGUUGCACCUGAUGUUAAGGUUUAUAAUGCUGUCAUUCAUGCUCUUGCAAAAGGCAGGUUGGUUAAACAAGCUAGGAGUGUGAUGAAGAUGAUGGAAGAGAAUGAUCUCGCUCCAAACGCUGUUACUUAUAACUCAUUAAUCAUGCCUCUCUGCAAAGCUCAAUUACUAGAUGAAGCUCAAGAGAUCUUCAAUGAAAUGAUUCAACGAGGCAUACAUCCUACUGUCCGAACUUACCAUGCAUUGCUUCGUAGCCUGAGGACAGGGGAAGAGGUGUUCGAGCACUUGCAGAAGAUGAACACGAUGGGAUGUAUUCCAACUCAUGACACUUAUAUAAUGUUAAUCCGGAAGUUUUGCCGAUGGUGCCAACUUGAUAAUGUUUUCAUGUUGUGGGAUAAGAUGAGCAAGAUCGGCUUGGACCAUGAUCGAAGUUCAUAUAUAGUGCUGAUACAUGGACUCUUUUUGAAUGGGAAGCUGGAGCAGUCGUACAAAUACUAUCAAGAAAUGAAGCAAAAAGGUUUACUGCCGGAGCCCAAGAUAGAUGAAAUGCUUCAAGCUUGGGUGGCUGGCAGGAGAGAUUCUCAAGAGAAUAAAGUAACAUGUCAUCAGGAGAACAAAAAGGUGGUCAAAUUUGAAAAAGCUGAUAAAGAAAGGGAUUUCCAUAAAAAACCUGAAAUGAGAAAAGUUAUGAGAGAGCGUGGCUUUUCUUUCUGGGAUCAAUAGAUUGAAUGUUGAUUAUAAAAUUACGGUUGGGAAUCUGGCUCGGGUCACUGUACAUACAGGUGCAUGAGGUUUCUCUUCUUUUUGAUUGUUUUAACAGAAUAUUCUUGGUUUAUUUGGUCUACAUACUGGAAAUUCACUGCUAACACAAUUUACUUCCAUAUAUUUUUUUAAACUUUGAUAGCAAGAAAGACUAUUUGAAUAUUCACAGAUGCUUUAUUCCUUUUUAAAAAAAAUAAUUAAAGAUUAAGACAAAAGUGAUCAAUAUUCUUUAUGCUUGUCCCUGAAGUAUAAAAUUGUCACGAUCCGAGUCUACACCCUAGUUGUGACCGGCACUUAGAAUCACGAAUGACGCUUAGCGGACCCGUGGUACUGACAUUUUGCUAAUAACUUAACUGACAUUUUAUGAAGUGCAAGUGGAAGCUAAAACAUAAUUAACUGAAGGAAAUACUUAACAUAUAUCUGAAUAAAAUGCAUGGAACUGAACAACUAAUGUCUGAAGUGGAACCUCUACUAAUUGGAAUGAAAGAAGAAAUAAGUUUGUCGGGACAUGAUCCCUAGCUACCUCAAAGAAAAUAACUGUCCUUACAUAAAACUUAGUUACUGACAACUCCAUGAAGUUACCAAAUGAAGUUGACUCAUCAACUACUGACGGGAAAAACUGCAACCUGUCUAGCCACUAGUGUGAGAGCGAACAUCUAAAUCUACAUCAUAAUAGGAUGCUUUGCAGAGAAAAGUAUGCAGCCAGUACGUGGAAUGUGCUGAGUAUAUAAGGUGAGACUAAACAUAAUCAUUUCGGGUGGCAACAUGUAGUAAGAACUAAUGAGUAUUCAAUAAUCAUAAUCAUAAAUAUAGUGAUAUAAUGAAAGACAUCCUAAAACCAGUGUAUAAAUAUCAUUUGAGAACUUGCUUUCAAUUAUAUAACGGUUGUUUCUGUAGCCCUGAGUUGAAAUUAGAUCUAAACUAUCGCAUUUGAGAAGAACGCUGAUGAUAAUUUAAGUUUAUGAACAUAAUGUUACUUUUAUGGGGAGUUUCUUACAAUCGACAUAUACCAUAUGAGCUUAUGUUGUCCAACUUAUAAUCCAUUUGGAAGGGCUUUCCUAUACCUUGUCAGGGUGUAGGACCUAUCUAUCUGAUGUGGAUCCACUAACUGAGCCUCUUGGGCUAAAGGAGUUGAUCGACUAGUGAUUUACUCAAAAUUCUAUAGUGGCACAUAGUAAUGGGUCUUGGGUUUUCUGAACUCACGACCUCUUAGUGUUAAAUAAUCCUCCCAAAAUAAUAUACAAAUACUGAUAUGCUCAUAAAUAGGUGAACUAUCUAUCUGUCUGUAUCAAGUGUGUAACUAAGCUGAAAAUCAUAUUUCAAAUAAUUUGUAUGGAAACUGAAAUUUGUAUCAUGCUAAUUUCAUGCUUAAAAAUUAUCGAGGUUAAAAAAAACCGUAGUCAUGUUAGAUUUUUUUUUUGAUAACCGAGAAAUCCAUCUGUGACCCACCCUUUGGACCAAUGAGAUUGGUACAAUGAGAUUUAUAAAAACUGAGUAAUACGAUCAAGAACAGGAGCUUAUGAUGAAAUUUCAUUAAUUGAGUAGAAUCCCUAACUUGGAUUCUAGAAAUUCUGUAAAAAUCUUUGAAAGAACAUAUGACUUAGGCAUGAGAGUGAAAUGAUACUCCCAUUGAAGCCUUGCAUACUUUAGUGACGAAACUUGAUGAAAAACCUUGAAAGAAGAAUCCUAACUUGGUGUUUCUUGUGAACUUUUUUAAUUUAAAAUAGUAAUGUUGUAUUCUUUAGCAUUAAGGAUAUGUUGGUGACCUUCAAAAAACAGAGGGAACAAAAACAGAGAAAAAAAUACUUGCAAGGAUCCUAAUAAUUCUACAAUCUGUUCUGUUUCCUCUAAAUCUUUCUCUUUACACCAAAAAUAAAAAGAUACAAUACAAUUCCCUUUAACCUUCUCAAUGGAAUUGGACCUAUCUUCAAAGUUUCUACUGUUUCUUUCUUUCCAAAAUGUCCACCAAAUGCAAUAUGGAAUUAUCCUCAACCAUGCCUUCUGGCUCUUGCUCCCCCCUCUUCUUAUCCAACUACUCCAUAAGUCUGCAGUGUGCUCAGGCAUGGUCCAAUUCGUCUCUGUGAGACCAAGGAAGAUGACCCUAGUUUGUGUUGUAAAGUUGCAAUGCAAGAGUAGAUGCUUGUUGGUCUCCUUUGCCUUCCCGCAUAAUAAACACCAAGGUACUAUAAUCUUUCCUUUUUUCUUCGAUGCUUCAUGUGUAAGGCAAGCCCUUCUUGCAACCAACCAUGUAAAGCAUUUUAUCUUAGUUGGUGCUAAGGUUCUCCAUACCUUUCUCCACAAACUCUGUUUAUAGAUGCUUUGCUAGGGGCUUUCCAUGUUGUAUGCCCUGCUAACAGUGAAAGCCCCAUCUUUACUAUGUUUCCAUCUCAAAGAAGCAGGAGAAUUGGUGGUGCCAGAGAAUUUUUCUAACAGCUCUAGCAAUUUGGCCACUCGCUUUACUUCCCAGUCAUUCAAAAACCUUCUAAAGAUCAGAUUCCACCCUUGUGCUGUCCAACAUUCAUUGAUAUUUGCAUCUGGAUUACUACAUUGUAAGAAUAUAUCUGGAAAGGAUUCUUAUAGAGUGAUUUGUUUGUUCCACGAGUCUGCCUAAGACUUAGUUUUCCUGCCAUCUCCCACUUCAAUGUACAUAUUAGCAUCAAGUUUUUGCCAUUAGUUUCUGAUAAUUCUCCAGAUCCCCGCCCCAUAGGCAUCAACACUAACAUUACUGCACCAAAGAUUGUACUCACCAUACUUGGAUCUGAUGACAUCCUUCCAUAAGGCUUGCCCCUCUUCAUUAUAUCUCCAUAACCACUUCAUCAAAAGACUAUUGUUUUGUUAACUCAAAUCUCUAAUACCCAUAACCCCUUUGUCUCUACUGUUCAAGGUUAUCUCCCAUUUGACAAGGUUAUAACCUUUAAUUUUUUUGCAUCCAUGCCAAAGGAAGUUCCUCCUUAAUCUGUCCAGUUUCUUCAAAACUUUGGUGGGUAAUGGAAAUAGUGACAUGACAUAAUUAGGAAGGAAGUCUAGCACUGAAUUGAUGACUAACUCCUAGAGACAAAUAUUGAGCCUUCCAUCUUUUUGAAAUUGGUAACUAUAUAUAUAUAUAUAUAUUUUUUUUUUUUUAAAAAAAAAUUACACCAUAACAGUGCAAAAGACUUCACAAAAUCCCAACCAAGCUUAGGCUACUGCUUCACAAGGAUCCUAUCAUAUCAACUAGUGAUUCAGCCUCCUCAGCAUAGCUUUCUUUACACCAAAAAUAAAACAAAAAUAUACAAUUCAUCUUGAUUUUCUCCACAAAAUUAUAUUUGUCUUCAAAAACUCUAUAGUUCCUCUCCUUCCAAAUGGUCCACCAUAUGCAAGCAGGGACAAGUUUCAUCCAACUGCCCCAUCAUUCUAGUUCCAACAUUUCAGCAAAUCAACACUUGUUGCUGGCAUUGACCAUCUGAUUCCUACCAUAUUCAAAAAUAGUUGCCAUAAUUGUCCAGUAACGGGACAAUGAAUGAAUAGAUGGCUAUUAUUUUCCCCAGCAGCUCCACACAAAAAGCAUCUAGAACACAGUUGGAAUCCCCUUCUUUGAAGUUUAUCAUGUGUGAGACAAGCAUUUCUUGCUACUAGCCAAGAAAAGCAUACCACCUUAAAAGGAGCCUUCAUCUUCCAAAUGGAUCUCCAUGGCCACUGAUUAGUUGACUGUCUGUGCCUAAUCAAAAUGUUAUUAGCUAAGUUUACAGAAUAAGUUCCUUUACUAGUGGGCUUCCAUAUAAGUGAAUCUUCAGUGUCUUUGAACCCUUGGAAUGAUUCCAAGGUCUUGAAAAAUUCAACAACUCUUUCCAACUCCCAAUCAUGCAGUAGUCUUCUAAAAGUAAUAUUCCAUCCAUGUACUCCUUUUGCUGAUUCCAGGCUAAUGUUUGGCAUAGUGGCAAUGCUAAAGAAUUCAGGGAAGAGUUCCUUUAGAGGUCCAUGUCCAAGCCAGUUAUCACACCUAAAAAGGAUUUUCCUACCAUUGCCCACUCUUAGGCUAAUUUUUCCAGCCAUCAAAGACCAGAGGGAUCUGAUUGCUUUCCAGACUCCUACACCAUGGGGGCUCACAACCACCUUUGAACACCACUGAUCUUCUUGACCAUACUUGUCAUGAAUGACAUUUCUCCAUAAAGCAUAUGUUUCAAGAUUAUACCUCCAUAACCACUUCAUUAGCAAACUUUGGUUGUGAGCAUUUAGGUUCCUGAUGCCAAGGCCACCAUCUUUUCUGGAUUUGAUAAGAACAUCCCAAUUAACCAGGUGGAAUGCUCUUUUUUUGUUGUGUCCUUGCCAUAUGAAAUUCCUUCUGAUCUUGUCAAUUCUUUUCCUAACCUUGCUAGGUAAAGGAAAAAGAGACAUGACAUAAGUAGGAAGGGCAUCCAAAACACUAAUGACUAAUAUAACCCUACCACCUAGAGAUAAGUAUUGUCCCUUCCAUAUUGCAAGCCUCUUUUCAGACCUUUCUAUGACACCAACUCCAAAUCUGCAAGGCUUUACUUUUAGCACCCAAAGUUAGCCCCAAAUAGGUAGUAGGUAGGGAACCCACCACACAUCCCAGAAUACCUGCAAGUGCUUGAAUAUUGUCCACUUUAUUAACCGGGAAUAAACUGCUCUUAUGCCAGUUGAUGUGAAGUCCGGAAACUGCCUCAAAAAUCACCAGAAUAGCUCUCAGAUGUUUGACCUGAUCAAUAUCAGCAUCACAGAAUACCAAUGAAUCAUCUGCGUAAAGUAAAUGGGUGCUCUCUAUCCCACUGCUCUCCCUGUAACUUUGAAACCGUUCAGGGCUCCUAAGUCUUUUGUAAUUUUAAAUAUCUGAUUCAGUCCUUCCAUAGCUAUGAGAAAGAGGAAAGGAGAGAGAGGAUCUCCUUGUCUCAAUCCUCUCUCGGAAGAGAAGAAACCUUCAGGAGAUCCAUUUACCAGAAUAGAAAAUUUGACAGUCUUAAUACAGAAGGCAAUCCAUCUAAUCCACUUCAUACCAAAACCCAUGUCUUUUAGAACUUUUAGGAGGAAAUUCCAAUUAACAUGAUCAUAAGCCUUCUCAAUGUCAAGUUUGCAGAGAAUACCAGGAGUCUGGUAUUUGAUUCUAGAAUCCACACACUCAUUGGCUAUCUUUUUUUUUUUUUUUUUUGAUGAAGUAAGAAGAAUGUCAUUAACAAAGCAUCAAGCAGAUGCACAGAUUACAAAAGAAAGAAAUAUCAGCUCCCAAAAGGCAAAAAAAAGCUAUCUAAACAGCUAACAACAGAGAUCUAUGGAGCUGAUAAAUUCUAGGAAAGAAUCGACACUAAGUACAGGAGAGAGAUUAACCCAACCAAAAAGAGUAAUCAAACAUCUUGCUUUAAAGGUAGAGAUGGGAGUUGGGGUGCCAUCAAAACAUCUUUUGUUCCUCUCCGUCCAUAAGCACCAAUGCUAUGGUAUCAAUGCAUAGCAUCCAUGAUUUGUCUGCCUUUAAUAAAAGCCAUUUGAUGUCUAUCCACCAGUUUAUCAAUCACUCUUGAGCCUUUCAGUGAGGAGCUUAGAGAUAAUUUUAUACACACUCCCGAUCAGACUUAUAGGUAUGAAAUCUCUUUAAGACUUUUGGCACCAAUUUUCUUGGUAAUCAAGGCAACAUAAGUUGCAUUGAAACUCUUUUCAAAAUAAUCACUCGUAUGAAAGUUUCUGAUAGUGUCCAUCACAUCCUUUUUCACAAUUUCCCAGCAGCAUUGGAAAAAUCCCAUAGAGUAUCCAUCUGGGCCUGGAGCUUUGUCAGCAGCACAUAACUUCAAGCAUUCCAACACCUCUUGUUCUUCAAAUUCGCUCUGCAACCAAUCAUUAUCAUCUUCAGUGAUUAUUGAGCCUUCUUGAAGGUUGAAUAAAGGUCUCCAGUGUUCUGUCUCAGAGUACAAAUUCUUAUAGAAAUCCACAAUCUCUUCCUUGAUUCUAUCUGGAUCAGUGAUGGUCUCUCAAUGAGCUUCUAUGGUGUCAAUGUGAUUAAAUCUUUUAUGACAGUUGGCCAUCCUUCGAAAAAAUUUGGUAUUCUUGUCUCCUUGUUUCAACCAUAAGAUUCUGGAUUUCUGCCUCCAAGAAAUUUCCUCAUUUUUUGCCACCUCUUCAUACUCCAUUUUCAAGCUUGCUUUCAAUAGUAAUUCAUCCUCUGAUAGCAGUCUUUGCUCUUGUAUGGUAUCCAGGGAGCUAAUCUGGUAAAGAAUAUCAGCUUUCUUAGCCUUUAGAUUCCUCCCAUUAGCAGUAUUCCAUUCCUUCAAUUUAUGUUUCAGGAAUCUUAGUUUACAAGACAAUAUAAUCAGGUCUUCCUUGUGCUUCACACGAAUUCCACCAUUUGCUAAUCUCCUUUCUGUUUUCUCCACAAUGCCAUCCCAGACUGUAUCCUUGUGUUUAUUUCCUAAAGGCAUAUGCCUAAGUAAACUGUUGGCAUACUUUCCACUUUGCAUCCCAAGUUUUUGCUAGAUUCAAAAUGUUGGUCACCUCUUUGAUUGGAAAUAAAUUGCUUUCCCCUAAUUCACUUUUAGACCUGAGGAAGCUUCAAAAAACAGUAAGAUUGUUUUGAUAAAUCUCAUCUGGUCCUCCCAAGGUUCACAAAAACUGAAAGUAUCAUCUGCAUAGAGCAAAUGACAAAUUUCUUUAACUUGUCCAUUGCUACCCUCUAUUUGAAAACCUUGAUCCAUCUGUUUUGUAUUGCUAUUCUCAUCAAGUUGUCAAAGCCUUCCAUUGCCAAAAUAAACAGAAAGGGAGAUAAGGGGGGUCACCCUGUCUAAGUCCCAGUCCCCUUCCUGAAGGGAAGAAGCCCACUGGUUCACCAUUAACCAGAAUAGAAAAUAGGACAGUGCUGAUGCACAAAUUCAUACAGCCUAGCCACUUUUCUCCAAAGCCCAUUUGUCUGAGAAUGUUCAGCAAGAACUUCCAAUUCACAUGAUCAUAUGCCUUUUCAAUGUCCAGUUUACACAUUAUACCAGGCUCAACACCUUUCAAUCUUGAAUCCACACAUUCACUAGUUAUAAGUGCAACUUCCAUUAUCUGUCUCCCUCCAAUGAAGGCCAUUUGAUGCUUAUUGAGCAACUUAUCCACCACCUUUUCAGUCUCUCAGCUAGUAUCUGUACUAACACUUUGUAUAUGCAUGUGAUUAGACUUAUAGGUCUGAAGUCCUUCAAUUCAGAAGCAUCUGCUUUCUUGGGGAUGAGAGCCACAAAAGUUGCAUUGGAACUUCUCUCAGUCCUCUGAUUAUUUUAGAACUCAUGUAUCACACCUUUGAUAUCUUCUUUCAUCACUUCCCAAACUAUAAGAUAAAAGGACUUGGGAAAACCAUUGGGCCCAGGAGCUUUCUCCAUCGCACAAAGUUUAAUGCAUUCUAGAAUCUCCUCCUCCUCAAUUUGUUCCUGUAACUCUUCCUUUUCAUCCUCAUUAAUACAAGUAACCCCUGCCAUUGUAAUUAUGGCCUCCAAACUUCUGUUUCCUUGUACAAAUUUUCAUAGAAACUCUUGAUGGUCUCCUUUAUGUCAGUGGGAUCAGUGAGAUUACUUCCCUCCACCUUCAAGGAUUCUAUGGUGUUGUACUUUUUGUGAGAUGUUGCUGUUCUAUGAAAAAACUUGGUGUUCUUGUCCUCAUGUUUCAACUCUUGUAUUCUGGAUCUUUUUCUCCUCCUUAUCUCUUCAUUUUUGACAACUUCAAAAGACAUUACCAAAUUUGUUUUUUUUUUUUUGCAUUAAUUCAUCAUCUGUAAGUAGUCUUUUCUCCUGAAGGAUCUCCCAUUUGGACAAUUGAUCAAGGUUCUCUUCCUUUUGUUGUUUCCAGUUGCUCCUAUUAUUCUUGCUACAUUCCUUCAGUUUCCUUUUUAGAAGUUUCAUCUUUUCAGCUAAGACAAACCCAGCUGUACCAGUAACUACAAAUGAUGACCACCAAAAACUCACUUUCUCCUUCAAGCCUUCAAUCCCCAUCCUCCAGUUUUCAAAUUUGAAGUAAGAUUUCUUGAAGUUCAUGUCUCCACAAGUCAGUAGAACUGGGUUAUGACCAGAUACCAACUUUGGAAGAGUUGAUUGUUUAAUGAGGGUGAAGAAUUCCUCCCUUUGAGAGGAACACAUAACUCUGUCAAUCCUUAAUGUAGUUGUAUGAUUCUCUCCUCUUCUCCAAGUGAAAGACCCUCCAAAUAAAGAAGGGUCUAUGAGCUCCACCUCCUCAGUACAAUCAGAGAAUUCUGACAUAAACCCAUUGAUUGAUGAACAAUUUGUUCUUUCUGAUGGAUAUUUAAUGACAUUAAAGUCACCACACUGCCCACGGCCCUUCACAGAGACUUCUCACGGCUCCCAAUUCACACCAAAGAUCCCUUCUGUCCAUUCUUUUGCACUUAGCAUAGACUUCUCAUGGCUCCCAAUUCACACCAACUUUUGGGAGAGAAUGAGAGCGUAGAAUAAGAGAGAUUUGAGUGUUUAGUCUAAUAUGUUCCCCUAUUUGGUGCUAAAACGCCGUGGUUUAGGCUUAGGAAGAAUAGGGAUAAGACAGAAAUAACCUCAGGAAACUUCUGUCAGAUCAUUCCAUGAGGACCAUCCACGGCUCGUGGAAUGAUCCACGACCCCUGGACUCCCUCUGUGGAACUCAGACGAUUCUGUCAACUUUCAGGUUCUCAUCCAUGAGUCCAUUCCACUGACCAUGGAAUGAUUCACAAGUCGUGAAGUGUUUUUGUGGAAACUUGGUUCAUAAAUCUCACAGUAGGUUGGACCAGGUCUGGAUCAGAGUAGUAGGCUUGCCUCUCCAGCUUUGGUCACAAAAAGUUUUCCGCGAAAUCGGAAACUUGUGUGGUGGCUGGAUCAGAACGGAAGAAGAAACAGAGCUGCGAAACCAUCUUAAAUGGGCUAGGAUGAAGGUGAGAGGGGACAGCGACUCAGUUCCGAAGUCAGUUGAACUGGUCCAUGAAGGUUUAACCUUCAAAGUUACAAUCUGGGUAGAGAUGCCGGUGAAGGUGGUCGCCGAUGGUCAUAGCAAAAUACCCCUAAAGACCCAGCGGUCUGAUGAAGGGACUGUUGGUAUUCAAGAUGAAAGCCUUUUAGGCUUUACAGAGGUGACAGGGCACGUGGGCUCGUCUUUCGAUCCUAAGAUUUUGAAUUGGCCAGCUGUCUCGGCACGUGCCAAGGCACGCGUGGUUGAGGUCCCACUUCCCACCACAUUAAAGAAGACUGAUGCUGCAGUUAAAAAGAAAAAUUUGGGCCCAGAUUUGCAGGCCCAAUUUGUUUCAAUUGGGCUAGUAAGUAAGCCCUCCUCUUUUUUAUUUGACCCAAUCUCAGCCGAGCUUGAGGCUAAUAAUUCCAACUCCUACAUAACGCUGAACUGCGGAGAAGGAGAAGAGGCAGAACAUAAUCGGGAGGAAACUGAAGAAGAAUACUUUCCUGAAAACAGUAAAGAAGAGGAAGUGAGGGUAACUGAAAACCCCCAAACCCUAGAAGAUAGUGCCAUGCAAGUUACUGCUAUAUUGAGAAGUGAAGAUAACAUCUCCGGGUUGACAACAAUUGAAGACGCAGUACCUUUAAAUCAGCAUAGCCCAGGGGAAGGGGAGGAUUCGGAUUUUGAUAUUCCUAUAUGGAUUCAUUAGAACAUCAUCAAAUUCACCAAAGAAUUUGGUGUCGACAUCAAGGGGUGCAAAGAGGAAGCAACAAUGUUAUUCAUGAAGAUAGACAACAUGUGACAAAAAAAAUUGAACAAGGAAGAAAAGAACAGGAGAAUGACCCGGCAGCAAAGGGAACCAACGAAUUGAAGAGCCUCGAGUGCGGAAGUAAUUUCAGAAGCAAUGGGGGGUUACAAUAUUAAUUGUGAUCAAUGACAGUCUCCAUAGUAUCAUGGAAUGUGAGGGGCCUGAAUCAGGCAAGCAAGAGGUGUAUCAUAAAAAAUUUAAUUCAUGAAUGGAAAGCUGAUGUUUAUUGCUUUCAAGAGACAAAAAUUCAAGGAGAUAUCAAGAAUUUGGUUAAAGAUUUGUGGGUGAACAGAGGGGUCAGAUUUUGUCAGCUGGAAGCUAGUGGGACAAGGGGAGGUGUUUUAAUCCUCUGGGAUGAGAAAGUUUGGACAGGAGAAGUAAGUAGUCUGGGGGCCUAUUCCCUAACCUGUAAGUUUACAGGGAAGAACCGCGACUUCACUUGGUGUCUUACAGGCAUCUAUGCUCCAAACAACAGAGUAGAAAGGGAAGAAGUAUGGUGGGAGUUAGGCUCAGCCAGAGGACUUUUUGAUGGGCCUUGGGUAGUAUGUGGGAACUUUAACACUGUCAGAUUCCCUCAGACAAGAGAAACUGCUCUAGAUUCACAAGAGCAAUGUAUGAUCUGUCUGAUUUCAUUGAGGAUAUGAGCCUACAAGAUCCACAUUUGAUAGGGGCAAAUACACUUGGAGGAAGGGGGAGAGACAUGAUGUUGCUGCCAGGCUUGAUAGGUUUUUAUUUUCUGAAGAAUGGAAUGAAGAAUUUAAGAACAUUAAGCACACAACCUUACACAAGGUGACCUCUGAUCACACACCUAUAUUGCUCCAAAGUGGGAACUGGGAACCUAGAAGAUCUUAUUUCAUAUUUGAAAAUUGGUGGCUGCAAACAAAAGGGUUCCUGGAUAGAGUUAAGAUGUGGUGGGACUCUAUAUUCUGUGAAAGGAGGCCGGAUUUUAUCUUAGCUUUCAAAUUGAGAGCCCUAAAAGAUAAAUUGAAGGAAUGGACUAAGACUUCCUAUGGGAACUUAGCAAUGCAAAAACAGAGCAUCCUUGCUAAGCUGGCAGAAUUGGAGGAAAUUCAGGAUCAAAGAGCACUAACAGAAGAUGAGACACUCUCAAAGGCAGAACUCUUUGUUGACUUUGAAAACAUAGCUAAAUGUGAGGAAAUAUCUUAGAGACAAAGAUCAAGGGUUAACUGGCUGAAACAGGGUGACAACAACACCAAGUUUUUCCACAGAUCAGCAAAUGCUCAUAGAAGAUAUAACAAUAUUGAUGAACUAAUGGUGGAUGGGAAAGCAACCAAAAAUCCAGAAGCUAUAAAGAAGGAGAUUGUGGAGUUCUAUCAAAGAUUAUAUACUGAGACUGAGUCAUGGAGACCUGCUGGUGGAUGCAGGGCAAACCACAGAGUUACUCUUGAAGACAACCAAAUGCUACAAAAGGAAUUUGAGGAACAGGAGAUAUGGGAAUGUGUGAAACUUUGUGUUGGAGACAAAGCUCCUGGCCCUGAUGGAUAUACCAUGGCUUUUUAUGUCCAUUGCUGGGAAGUAAUAAAGGGGGAAGUAAUUAGUACCAUCAGGAAUUUCCAUGAAAGAUGUGUUUUUGAAAAAAGCUUCAACUCUACCUAUGUGGCUUUGAUUCCUAAAAAGAUGGGUGCUAAAGAGCUCACGCAUUUUAGACCUAUCAGUUUGAUCAGUAGUGUUUACAAGAUCAUCUCUAAGGUGCUUACAGAUAGGCUAAAAAAUGUUAUACACAAAUUGGUGGACACUCAACAACUGGCUUUCAUCAAAGGAAGGCAAAUAAUGGAUGCCAUCCUCAUGGCAAAUGAACUAGUGGACUCUAGAGUCAGAAGCAAUAUACCUGGCAUUCUAUGCAAGCUAGAUAUACAAAAAACCUAUGACCACUUCAACUGGAAUUUUUUGUUGGAGACCCUCUCCAAAAGAGGAUUUGGAGGCAGAUGGAUAAGAUGGAUGAAGUUCUGCAUAAGCACAGUCAAAUUCUCUGUCUUUAUCAAUGGCUCCCCUACAUGAUUCUUCUCCUCACAGAGAGGCCUAAGGCAAGGAGACCCACUCUCCUUUUCUCUUCAUCAAUGCCUACUUAUAUGAUGUCCCUUUUCCCUAUCCCUGUUGGGGUCAUUGAGAGAUUGGAUGUUCUAAGAAGAAAUUUUCUCUGGGAAGGAAACAGUGAAACCAAGAAAUUCCACCUGGUAAAAUGGGAUGCACUGAUUGGGAGUAAACAAAAAGGGGGUAUGGGGGUGAGGAACUUAAAAUCUCAGAACCAAUGUCUUAUGAUGAAAUGGCUCUGGAGAUUUGCUUCUAGUGAGUUAGCUCUCUGGAAAGAAGUAAUCCAGCUGAAGUAUGAAAUGGCAGAUCAUUGGACCACCAAAAUGGUCACUGAUACUUAUGGAAUCAAUCUUUGGAGGUCCAUCAGAAACCUGUUGCCAAAGCUUAGAGAAAAUUGCAGCAUAAGAACAGAAGAUGGCAGGAAGGUUCUUUUCUGGGAAGACAAAUGGAUAGAUCAAGCCCCCCUAAGGGAUACCUUCAAUGAUAUUUACACCCUAAACCAACAACAAAGGGCCACUGUGGCUGAAGUUUGUUCAAAUCAGGGAUGGAAUUUGAGCUUUAGAAGACCUAAUGACUGAGAGAUUUUGAGGUUAGUUGAGUUCUACAGAAAAUUGGAGCAAUUCAAAGGAACUUCAACUGACCAAGAUAGAUUGGAGUGGAAGGGCCACAAUCAAGGUAGAUUCAGUGUGAAAGGGGCCUAUAAAAAAUUAAACCCUUAUGAUAAUCAGACCUUGAAGAUCUGGAGCAGUUAUGCUAACAUUUCAUACCAUAAGGAUAGGUGGAAAAUUAUACCAACUUGCAUCUGGUGGGCUGCUUGGACAGAAAGAAACCUCAGGUGCCAUCAGAACUAGAGCAACAAUAUCCAGAAGAUGAAGAUGAAGUGCUUAGUUUUGUUUCUAUUUUUGGUGUAAAUUAGAGUAUAUGGAAGAUCUAGAAUCAAUUAUGGAUGUCUUAAAAUCUUUGUAAAUUUUUGUUAAAAGGGUUGAAGAUCUUCUGGAUACUCCACCUUAAUUGUAAUUAGGAAACCUGUAACUUGUUGUGGCAGGUUUCUGAUUUUUUGGAAAUAGAAUACAAGUUGUUACCUUCUCAAAAAAAAAAAAAAAGAGCCCUGGGCAAUGCCAGAACAUACUGCUGAUCUUUUGAGCUGCUGAAUGAGGAGGGGGGGGGGGGGGCAAGACCCAAAAAAGAAGGUCUAUAGUACCUACUUGUGUCUGGUGGGAUAUUUGGAGAGAAAGAAACCUUAGGUGUCAUGAGAAUAUUACUAACACUAUUCAGAAAGUUAAAGAAAAUUGCAUUAACAUGUUAUUUUUUUGGUGUAAAGAAGAUGGUAUAGAAGAAGUAGAACAGUUGGUAGAUUUCCUAGGAUCUAUGUAAUUAUGGAUGUAUGGAUGUAGCUUGUAACUUUUUGGAGGUAGCCAGCAUACCCUUAAUGCUGAAGAAUACAACUUUAACUUUAUCAAAAAAAAGAAAAAGAAUUGAUCUUAAUAUCUAUGUUCAAUUAGAAAUCAUCGGGUUCAGGCCUAAAUGCAUAUGGAGAAUGGUUCAGAUUUUUACAUAGAAGUUGCAAGGUGUUACAAAAGUGGGUCCAUUUGUUCCUGAAUAGCUUCUUUCAAAAAGGCUUCUGCUUCCUCGGUAAAUGUCUUGGUAGAAGAUAUGAUUUCUUGGAACUGAGGUUUAUUAGUUCUUAAGUAAGUACGUAGCUCAACAAGAAGUUUCCUUACCUGUCCAACUUCUGAUGAAUCAAGAUGGCCGUUUGUAUAGAUACAACAAGUUGCUUCUUUCCUAAAGAAAAGGACUCAGUUUGCUCCUCCCUUCCUGUACUGCAUGUACCUUUGCAUAAACCCACAAAAGUUGUACAGAACACAACAAGUGUAUGAGGGCUCAGACGAAGUUACUGGACUUGGAUGUUUGAGGGAUCCCAACUGUCACCUUCCAAGAGAACAACAGAGGUAUGGUGGUUGGGUAGAGAGAGAGAUGGCAGACCUCGUAGUUGUUCCUACUUGACUGCCAAAAGAUUCUUGAAAGUGAAUCGAGUAAUAUAAGCCACUACACUUGGAUUCUCUUGGGUUUUCUGUGAGUCUUUCAAACUCGUUACUUCUGCAUUUAUUUUCUAAAAGAUGUGCGUAUUUUUACCCUUUUUAGCUGUUGUUUUUGAUCUCUGCUUUGAACUUUGAUCUUGAGCUUUUAUCCUAAUAGUUGAAUUCAGUAUUUCAAGUUUGUAGGUGUGAAGUACCACUACACCCGCUCUUUUUAAAAAUAAAUAAAAAAAUUGGUGUGGAUUUAGUGUGUGUGUAUAUAUAUAUAUAGAAGGUUUUACUUUUAUAAGUUUGAGGCAAAGGCAAGGGGUAUAUUAUCCACUGCACGUAAUAUCGAUUCACCCAUUGUUUGAUCUUUUGUUUUUCCUCCUUUAUGUUAAGGGUUUGACAGAAUCCAGUUACAUAUUUGUGUUGCUUAUGGAUGUGACUAUUGGUUUUGAGAAUCCCUUUAUAGUUGUUUGUAAGGCACACACAAUCUAAUUUAACAGAAUCGGAGGUAAGUUGACAGAGCAAUGCGAAAGGAUUACUAGACUGAUUCCAAAUUACAAGUCAGUCAACUAUGAAUUACAAUCCAACGAAUUAAAGAAAAAAAAUUGAAAAUACCUCAAUCAGUCUCCUUCCAUUCAAUUGUAAUUCCUGGAUUGCAAAGGCAGAAAAGAAUUAGAGUUGGGAGAGAAGGGAAAAGAAUGAGAAAGAGGAGAGAAUUUUGAGAGAGAAGGGAUACAAGAACUGUCAAAAACAUGAGCUGCAACUGAAAGUUUGACUCCCUUGAUGGUGGAAGGAAGACAAAAUCAUAACUGUGUAUGUAAUCUAAGAAUUUAAAUCUCAGCUGCUGGAUGUGUUCUUCAGUUUUUUUUUAAAAAACGUCGGAGUUAAAUUGGACCUUUCCCCUUAUAAACGACACAAUUCCCUUUCUAUUAAUUACUAACUGCAGUUAAUGACCAUUUAAAUUGCUUACACCUAACAUUGUUCAAUCAAUGUUGGUUCUUCUUAUUGUUAAAAAUGAAAUUCGUCCUUUAUGUGUUUCCUUUCUUAUCUGGUUUCCUACUACUUUAUUUAGGGAGUGUACAGUGGUCAAUAUGUGUGGAAUACUAAUGUGGAUACUUGGUUGAAUUGUCAAGUUGUGUGCAAGUUAGCCUAGUGCCAUGUUAUUGAAAAAGAAAUGAGAAGGGUGUGAAUUAGAAUUGCAAUCACUUGACAAUGGGUUCGGCCGUGUUGAGUCCGCAACCCCUUGCCUUGUUUACAAAUUUUCCUAUGGCGAUGGAUGGUUCUAAUGAAUAAGUAAUAGUUUUUCCUUGGCUUUUAUAUUAUCCUUUUGACAAUUGUCAAUGUGAAAAUACAUACAAUGUCACCUAUAUAUUUUGGCAAGUAUUGUUUCAAGUUUUUUUUCUUUCUAAUAUUGCCUUUUUUUCUAGCAGGUCUCGGGGUUCUCAUGAGUUAAAGUGAAGAGGAGAUGCAGUGAAUGACUUGUCUAUAGAGGUACUAAGAGUAAUAACUUUCUUGCAUUACAUGGUGGGGUUUGUGUUUUUUCCUGUAACUAGUGCAAGAAAAUUUAUUUUGGUUGAUAAGCCAAUAUGGUGAGUAACUGUUUGCUUAGAUUGGGCAAUGCGUUUAAGCUGGGACUCCAGAAUCCAUUUUGGGGGCAGAAAGCAGGCUUGGAGAUUAUGUAGAAAUUUCGGUUGCCCAACAGAGAAUGUGGUUUCGCAAUUCGAAAUUCUUCUAUUCUGUGGCAUCUGCAGGAUGAACUGACUUGCAUGUGCUUGAAGCGCCUGCAACUUUAGCAGCAGCAAAGGCAAAUUUGUUUGUAAUAGACCAGAGAAAGAACUUUUCAAUAGUUGGUGCCCUUUCUCGUGCAUUUGCUAUACCAUCAUUAUCAGGGCCUGCAUUUUAGGUCUGCGGCGCGGCUAUCUCAUUGAUCUGCUGAUAUCUGAGCCUAAUCAAGGUUCAUUAGACAUUGAUUGUCAGAAAGCAGUUACAGCUAUUUGCAGUUCAAUAAUUUUUCUAUGUUCCUCAAGUAUAAUGACCUCAAGGCAUCACACAUCUGCUGGCACUGCCCCUCAUCUGUCCUUUGUUAAAUCUAUCUGUGAGGUACAGCUUGGAAUUUCAGCAGAUACUUCUGAAGAGUAUGUUUCCUGAACUUUGAUGUUCUUAUUAACUAAAUCAAGUUACAAUUGCUGCAGCAUUAUCUUGUAUAAAUGACACGUAAUUGGUUUAGUGUUAUUGAAUUUCUCUGAUUUAUAAAAGAAUAACAAAUAUCAAGUUUUUGUACAAAAAUUUGCAGCCUCUAAUUUAGAGGAGAAGGGUAGUGAAGAGGGCCCCUUCUCAAACCCUGUGCUGCUGGCCUUCGGAAAUUUUGCAGUUAUCAAAAACAAGUUCGCACUAGCUGCUGUCAUAUAAAUCACUACAUAUAAUGUGCUGAAUUUCUGAAGUUGAUGAUCCCUCUCUUGCUGUAUUUUAAAAGUGCCUAGCUAAUGUAGGGGGGGAAUGAAAUUUGCUAUUAGUUGGAGAUUUCCAUUAAGGCCUAAUUUGCAUGUGUAGAACUGAAUUGAUGAUUCCAUGGUUUCAUUUAUCACUUUUCUGAUCACUGGAAAAUUAUUUAGUGUAAUAGCUAGGUAUUUUCUAAAAGUGAUUGACAGCUCAACUCAUUAUGUAGCUCACUUUUGGUAUUGUUAUCUUUCUGUUACUAGUAGUCUUGUGAUUUGUGAGUAUUCUCAACUUCCCCCUGCAGUCAUGGCAAAAUAGCCUUCACUUUUCUGUUUCUAAGGUCAAGUGUUCAAUUACAGUGUCAUGUUUUUUCUGCUGGUCAGGCCCCCCUGAGGAACACAGGCUUACUUGCUUGCAUACACCCUCCGUUGCAUUUGAUUGACAGGAAAGCUAGGAGGAUAAGUGAUUUUUAAUUUAUUGGCUCUUCGUGCUUUUCAAUCAAGUGACUAACAGGAAAGUUCUAGACUGCAUUUGGUAUCUUUCCCACAGAAAAGGUCUCCCAGAAAGUAAACUUUCAAAACUAAGGAGGAGAAAGAGAAAAAUUGUAGACUAACUACUCACUGUAUUUGUAUUUAAUUAUGUGAUUUUUAAUUUAUUGGCUCUUCGUGUUUUUAAUUAAGUGAUGAGUGAUGACUGGCAGGAAGGUUCUAGACUGCAUUUGGUAUCUAUCCCACAGAAAAGGUCUCCCAGAAAGUAAACUUUCAAAACUAAGGAGGAGAAAGAGAAAAAUUGUAGAGUAACUACUCACUGUAUUUGUAUUUGAUUAUGUGAGAAAUACAAUAGAGAAAAUAUUAUUAAGAUGCAUUGACUACAUUAUUACAUUGAGCCCUAUUUAUAGACACUACAUUAUAGUCCUUUUCCAUGUAGGAUCUAUUCCUAUUGCUAUUCUAACAAUCCCUCUCAAAUUGGUGCAUAUAAGUCAUAUGUACCAAGCUUGUUAUAGAUGUAACUCAUACGAGAACCAGUGAGAGACUUGGUGAAAAUAUUUGCAAGUUGAUCAGUUGACUUCACAAAUUUUGUAAUAAUAUAUCCCGAGAGUAUCUUUUUUUUUUGGACGAAGUGACUGUCAACAAUGUGCUUAGUCCUCUCAUGAAAUGCAAGAUGUAAUGCUAUAUGAAGGGCCACUUGAUAUCACACACAUGUUCCAUCUAAUUGAUUUCUCCAAACUUAAUUCCCUAAGCAACUGUUUGAUCCAAACUAGCUCACAAGUUGCUACAACCAUUGUUUGAUAUUUUGCUUCUGCACUAGAUCGAGCAACCACAUUAUGCUUCUUUCUUCUCGGAUACCAAAUUCCUUCUAUUAAAACGUAAUAUCCAGAUGUAGAACAUCUAUUCGAAGGUGAUCUUGCCAUCAACAUUUGUAUAUUCAACGCUCUGCUCAUGACCUUGAUCCUCGAAGAGUAGUCCUUUGUUUGGAGCUAACUUUAUUUAUCGUCAAAUGCGGACAACUGCAUCCUAAUGAUUGUCGCAGAGGAGAAUUCGUAAACUCACUUACACCACUCACAAGAACAAAAAUGUCAAGUUUAGUCAUAGUGAGAUAAUUCAUCUUACCAACUAGCUGCCUAUAGCUACCAAGACCACUGAGUGGCUUCUCUUGUCCUGACAAUAGUUUAGCAUCCGAUCUAUAGGAAUGCCACUGGGUACAUCCCAUUGUUCCUAUUUCCUCAACUUUGACUGCAUAAACCCAACGACAACCAAUAGUAGAUUUACUUAAAAGAAGAGGAACAAGCUCCUAUGUAUCACUUGUAUAUAAAGCAAACAUCUCAUUAAUCAUAGCCUAUCGCUAUCUUGGAUGAGAAGUGCUUCACCAAUAGAUUUAGAGAUAGAACAGAGGACAAAGAUGACUCAAAGGCAUAUUGGGGUGAUGAUAGAAGAUGGUUAGUUUAGAAAGUAUAAUGGGGGUUAAUAUUACGAGUGGAUAAUAUACCUUUCUGAUGUGCAAUCAGUUGAUUAAGAGGAGACAAGUCGCAGUAGGUUCAGGGUUUUGUGUAAGGUGUGAAUCAUCUAGACCUGAUGCUGGAUGUGAACGAUGAUGAUAAGUCAGGAGUGGUGGUACUAUGGCUUGAAAUGUAAAAGUAACGGUAGAUUCCUUAAAGUCAAUAUAGGUAAGACCUCAGAGAUAUUAGGACGAUAAGAAGAAGAUGCAAAGUAAGGUGGAGACUAAAAAAAUGUGACAUCACAUUACAUUAGGUAAUGAGGAAGAUUACGUGAAUAGAAAUGAUUACCCUUUUGAACCCAAGAAUAAUCAAGAAAGACAUGUUGAGGUCUAAUUUAUCUUUCUUGGGGCUAAGUUGUGAACAAAACAUGUGCUCCCAUUAACAUUAGGGGAAAAAGAGUACAGAGGUGGCUGAGGAAACAAUAAUGAAUAAGGGAUUCGGUUCUUAAUGGAAGAUGAGGGCAUCCGAUCAAUUAAGUAGCAAGAUGUGAGAACUGUAUCACCUCGAAAAUGCAGCGGAACAUGAGGUUGGAUGAGAAGAGUGUGAGAAGUCUUAAUGAGGUAGUGAAAAGUGACAAACGAACAAUGGUGAUAUUUCAGGUAGAAAAAGUAAACAACUAAUAGUUGAGGUGUGUUUCGAUGAACAUUUGGUGAUAGUUUGGGUAGGAAAUUUUGAAACCUGAUAGUUCAGGUAUGAAACUCAAAAAAUCAAGAUACUUAAGGUGUGUUUUUGAUGCUUAACUCUUUAUAUUUUGAAUCCUCAUAGCAAAAGUACCGGCUCUGCCACUUAUCACACGUUUUGAAAACUUUAUAGCAACAUAUUAGAACUCAUUCAUCAAAAUUUUAAAAAACCAAUCAACAAUUGUUUCCCUUAAAUAAAUCCCCAAAAUCAAAAUUAAUGUAAAAUUGAGCAAAAGAAAAGAAAUUGGGUAUAAAUAAAAUGAGAAUAUGCCCGACAUCAUCGCGGUAGAGGCUGUUUAUAAGGACAUCGCUACGGAUAUUCAAGAAGUAUAUAUCUUUGGGCUCGUCUUGCAUGGCUACUAAUUAGCAUGCGAUCCAAUUUUAAAAAAAGUUGAUCGAUUAAAUCAGAUUAAAAUGAGAUUUUGUUUUAAAAAAACAAUGAGAUUUCUAAGGGUUUUCAGUGCUUUGGAAGAAAAAGAUUGAGAAUAUAUGAAAUAAAACUGUUGAGAUCUUUAUUUGUGAUUUUUGAAUUUGUGUAUUAGGAAUAUUUAAAAGUACUCAUCCCCAUAUUUUAUAGUUCAUUUUCUCACUAUGGAACAUUACAAUGGAGUGGUAAGUAAUUCUUCAUUCUUAAUUAGAUGUUUUUCAGUUUGAGCUUGAGAUACUAAGAUACUGAGUCAUCUUUGGUAGGGAGUUCAUCCUCAAAGUGGGACUUCUCGAUAUGAAUGUGAAUUAAUUGGGCCCACAACGGAUACUGAACAACCCUUCAAGGUGGCCCAGUUGGGCUUGGGACUUCCAUGUUGGAGGUCUCAAGUUCGAAACCCCUUGCCAGCGAAAGCAAGGGUUUGCUUUCUGGAGCUCGCCGCACUAGGCUUGCUUAGUACAGUUACCUCUCAUGUGUGGUUUGCAAGCUAUUGCAUAAGACCGGGGGUUUUACUCUGUGUGCACCCAAAGGGUAGUGGCUGUGGAUUUACCUUGUCAUCAAAAAGAAAAAAAUGGAUACCGAACACCGGGUGAGAAACAAAAAAAACUUCAUUUUUUCAUUUUUAUACUUUUAACUUUUAAGAAUAUUUAAUAUGAAUUAUUUUCUCCCUCAAAUUAACUUUAGAACUACACCCUUAGUUGUAAUUUAUGUGAGUUAUUAUUAUUGAGCACGGAAUUGAAAAAAAAAAUCUUUUAAUUUUAUGGUCUUAAAUAAAUCAUAAAAAGUUAUGUUAUUUUAAAUUAUUUCAAUAAAGAUAAAUGAGAAGUUUAAACUUAAAUUAUUAUUAUUAUUAAAUAUGUCAUAUUCUUAGAGACGGAUUAAAAAAGAAAGAGCGUCAUAAAUUAGAUCGGAAGAAAUACUAUUUUAAUGUUUUUUUGGUCGAAAUUUUAGUGUUUUCUUUUCUUGUGAAAAUGUGGUACUAUAUGAUUUGAAUUUACAUCUUACUAAAAAUAAAUAAAAAAUUUACAUCUUACUGAUUGUGUUCAUUCAAAUAUCAUCACAUAAUAUGACAUGAAAAAACUAAAAAGUAGUAUGCGAACUUUAAAGCUUGACCUCAUGAGAACUUUCAAUCAUUUCCAUGUCAAUUGUAACAUGGUUAAAUCUUUCAAUGCUUACUUUAUAGCUCUCAUUCCUAAAAGAAGAGGAGCUAUCGAACUCAAAGAUUUCAGGCCUAUCAGCCUUAUGCAGCAUCUACAAGCUUGUGUCGAAAGUGUUAACUGAAAGGCUAAUAAAGGUGACUGGGGGACUAGUUUCAGGUUUACCAAAAUGCUUCCAUUGAAGGCAGGCAGAUCACUGACAGCCCUUAUUGCUAAUGAGGUUUUGCAUUGGAGGCAAAAAUGUGGAGAACUUGGACUUCUUUUUAAACUUGACAUAGAGAAGGCUUUUGACAAGCUAAACUGGCAAUACCUCAUCUCAACCCUUAGAUAAAUUGCAUUUGGAGAGAGAUGGAUCAAAUACAGCUUUAUAACAGUGAAGUACUCAGUUCUUGUCAACAGAAGUCCUGUAGGCUUUUAUUUGCUGAUGACACCCUCAUAUUUUGUGGAGCAGAAAAAUCUCAAGUUCAGUACCUUAAUCUCACUUUGAUGCUUUUUCAAGCUAUCUCAGGUCUUCACAUUAACAUGCCCAAGAACGUUAUCUACCCUGUUAACGUGGUUCCUGAUUUGGAAGAGAUGGCAGAUAUCAUGUACUGCAACACUGGUUCUUUCCCUACUACCUACCUAGGUCUUCCUUUGGGUGCUAGUCAGAGAUCAACUGAAAUUUGGAGUGUAGUCAUUGAGAAGUUAGAAAAUACAAGCAUCUUGGCAGCAACAAUACCUCUCUUAUUGGACAGGGUAACACUCAUUAAUAGUGUUUUGGAUAGCAUUCUACUUCAUGUCCCUAUUUCCUAUUCCAGUCAAGAUGCAGAAACACUUGAUAAGAUAAGGAGAUCUUUCCUAUAGGAAGGCAACAGCCUUAACCACAAUAAUCACUUAAUCAAAUGGGACAAAGUCAUUCUUCCCAAAUCUCUUGGGGGACCUUGUGCUUAAAGAUUUGGCUCUCCAGAGUAAACAUAUGUUGAUGAAAUGGCAUUGGAGGUAUAAUCAGGAGAAUGCGGACCUUUGGAAGGAGAUAGUCCAAGCAAAGUAUCGGGCGACUAGUCAUUGGUGUACCAAUGUUUCGAGUUCUCCUUAUGGUACUGGAUUAUGAUGGAGUAUCAGGAAACUCUGGGAAGGCUUUUCUUGCAACACUUCUCUUCAGCAGGGCAAUGAAGCUCACAUUCAAUUCUGGAAAGAUAAGUGGCGUGGGCACACUAAACUGCAGGAUGCCUUCCCAAGAUUAUUUCUGAUUGCAACUAAUCCAGAUUCCACCAUUGAUCAAAAUUGGUAGAACAGCACAUGGAGUCUGAAGCAGAGAAGGAAUCUAAAUAAUAGGGAGAUGGAUUUGCUAACAAUGCUUGGAAACCUUCAGGGUAGCUCAGUCAACCUUCAGCACAAAGACAAAGUCUCAAGUGGGGCACUAGUAGGAAUGACAAUUACUCAGUCAAAUCAAGUUACUUCCAGUUAAGUUCCAAGAAGGACUUGAUUUGACCAAUGACCUUGGAGUAUGGAGAACUAAAUUACCACCAAACGUUAAAUGGUUUGGUUGGAUCACAUUAAAAGGAUCAUGCUUAAACCAAGAUAAUCUUAUGAGGAGAAAGUUUUAAAUAUCUAACAGAUACUUCUGAAUCAAUCAACCACCUAUUUCUUUAUUGCCCAUUUGCUGCAGAUAUAUGGUGCAUGUUUAUAACACUUUUUGGGUUACAUUGUUCUAUGACAUACAGUAUUAGGGAUGCUUUUGUAAAUUGGUGUACUUGGAAAGUUGGGAAGUCCUUCCAAAGGAUAUGGUCUUUGAUUCCAGCUUGUAUUUGUGGUGCAUUUGGACAGAAAGGAAUCAAAGAUGUUUUGAUGGCAUUUCAAUAGUCGACCACGCUCUCAAAAUCAAAUGUUUAGUUAAUCUUUUUAGCUGGGUUAAUUUUACCCCUGUAUAUAACCCUGACUCCUUUUUGGAAUUCAUCAGCUCCUUAGUGUUACAAUAGCUUUUGUCAAUUGUUUUAGGCUGAUAAUUCCAUCUCUUUUGUAACCUAUGCAUCUUCUAAUGACUUAUUUCAUCAAGAAUCAAUAUUUUUUCAUACCUUGUUAGGAAUCAUUACCAAAAAAUGUGAUCCUACAUUUGACAAAGUUAACGAGAUUUGAGUAAUUCACUAUCAACAUUAUUGAAUUAGAAAGAAAGAAAGAAAGAAGAUAGAACAAAUUUAACUCAACUAUACGUUUCCAGUCAAAUUUUUCUUUGUUAGUAGUAUCUGUAUCAAUGUACUGAAAGAGUCCAUAACAAUAAGUGAAGUUUGGUAUGAAUGUUGUGAUACUUUUGAGGUCUCAGUUCAUAUGGCUCAUUUUGUUCUCUUUACAGAAUUGCUGGCAAAGAGUGAAGGUAAGUUGAGGAUCAUAUUAAUAAUAGCUGCCUCAUGGUGUCAAAAAGAGGAUAGUGAUUUUAUAUGCAGCCAUGAAGAAUCAAUUGGUGUAGCUCAUGGUAUUUAGCAGAGGCUGCAAUGAUGUGGUAUUUGGGGAUGUACAUUUAUUUAUUUAUUAAAUACGGAUAGUUUAAUAAAGGGAAAAUUGUACAUAAUGGCAAACUAUUAAUUCAAAUUAAAUGGUAUAAUCACACUUUGAUUUAAUUGUGUCUUGUAGCAAACUGUUUGCCAGCGCCUCUCUCCCUCAAACUCUGUGCUCGCCUCUCUUGCUUUAUACAACAGAAGUGUAUAAAUUGCGUUUCUGUUUGUAUAAAGCGAGAGAAAAUUGUAUAUACACAUGCAAAUACAUAUAUAUUCGUCCUAUACACUUAUAAUUAUACAAUAAAAAUAUUCCCCUGCCCAGUUCUCUUUUGUCUUUCUCUCUUUCUCGUUUUAUACAACAGAAUUGUAUAAAUUGCGUUUCUGUUUGUAUAAAGCGCGAGAAAAUUGUAUAUACACAUGCAAAUACAUAUAUAUUUGUCCUAUACACUUAUAAUUAUACAAUAAAAAUAUUUCCCUGCCCAGUUUUAUGUUUGUAUAAUGUAUAAUUUAUGUUUGUCAACGAUUUAUACAAACGAGAGGCUAACAACAAUUUAUACAAAUGGCUUGCCAGCGAAAUUAUACAAUUCUUAAGAGGAGCCAACGAAUUAUACAAUUGCUUCUUUUUGUAUAUAUGUAUAGCGAAAUAGACAGUUUUCAAUUGUAUAUGUAUAGCGAAUUAUACAUAUAUAUAUAUGCUAUGGAGCGCAAUUAUGCAAACUUUGCUAUAACAUACAAAUAUGAUUUUUUUGUUUACUAUAUGUGAAAGUUGCUCUUUAAUAAAUAGUUUAAUAAACUACAUAUUAUAUUUUAUUAAUUUCUUGAUGGACCUAAUUUUUGUUAAGAUGCCCCAAUUUUGCUUUAAAAAUCAAUUUCUCCCCUCAACUUUGAACAAUCAUCAAACUCCCCUCUUUAUCCUAUGCAUUCUCCAUUUUACCCUUGUUAUAUCAUAUAUAUGUGUUACCUUUUUAUGUUAUGUAUAUAAUUUAUUUUUCAGCCUACACAUUUUUAUAACUUUUACAUUAACAUUAUAAGUAGAAUAAUAUUUUUAUGAAUUUGUCAUUGAAUUUAAUAUUAUUUUUAUGACCGUUAUUUCAAUAUAAUAUGCAUUAAGCAGUGUGUAUAUGUAUGUGUGUAUACUUUUGUCUUUCUCUACUUUCUACUUCAUUCGUUUGAUAUAUUACUUGACCUCUUCUUGAUAUGACUUUCCUUAAAAAAUUUAAUUAGAUGUGUAUUUUACUAAACUAACAUUAUUAAUAAUGCUUUAAAAUUUUAGAUUUGAUUCCUACUAUUUUAUGCAAUUAUUUAAUAUAAAGGGUAGAAAUAAAAAGUAUAACAAAAUUCUUUUUAUUCAAUAAUUGGACAAGUAAAUCAAAACAACUAUUUUUAGAGUGAGGGUCAAGUAAUAUAACGGGGAAUUCUCUAUUGUUUAUAUAAAUAAAUAAGUUUUGAUUGACAUUAAUGGAGUAUUACAUAAAUUAUAGUUUAAAAUAAUUUAAAUUUUCAAAAAGUCUUUGAAAGUUUUGACCUUAAUUAAAUUAAUUAUUUUAUAUAUCCUACAUUGAAUAUAUUUGUAUAGUUAUCAUUCUCUGUUAUUUUUGCUUGCGUAAAUAAAAUAGUUUUGAUUAUUAUUAAUAAAAACAAUUUUUCAUUAUGUGAAUUUACUUCAUUAUAAAAUAUCAUUAACUCAUAUACUUAAUUAAUAUUUAUCAUUUUUUUGUCCAAAAAAAUAAUGUUUAUGCUUUUAUGAAAAGCUUGUUACAUGAAUUCAAAAAAAAAUGUUUUUUAAAGAAGUAAAAAAGAAUUGAUAGAUUAACCAAAUCUUUUCGAUAAGGUUCUUCCUUUGAACGCUUUUUCUAUGGUGACAUCUGACGGCGGCCAACCCUCUUCUGGGGUUGGUCUUCAACUUUCAAAUUGUGAUUUCCCUCUUCUUCCCUCAAUUCAAUAUGCUUCAAUCUUGAACCCUACUUUACCAAAGGGAAAAUCAUUUGUUGAUUCAGUGAAAACAAAUUUUGAGAUGGAUAUUAUUGAAGACAAAUCAUUACUAAAAGAUAUUACAUAUGUAGAAGGAGUGCCACAAGUCAACUGGACUGAGCAGGAAGUGAUAAAGAUGACUUGUAUUGAGAAACUCAAAUUCACUGUAAUUGGAAAAUUCUCAUAUGAAUGGACAGAUCUUGACGAAUUGAGACGAAUUAUUCCUCAACAAUGUGAAUUAAAAGGGGAGUGUGUAAUAGGAUUGCUACGUAGCAAGCAUAUUCUAAUUAGACUGACUAAACAAGAGGACUAUGUCAGCAUGAUCUUGAAAGGGGUUUUCUAUAUAAAUUGUAGUGAUGGGUAUUUCUACUUGAUGUGUACCCUAAUCUAUGAUUCUAGAUUCAAGGUAUCUGAGGAGACAACUAUGGCUAUGACAUGGAUUUCAUUCCCUAAUCUAUUGCCAACUUUCUUUGUUAAGGAAGUGUUGUUUUCAAUUGCUUCGGCAGUUGGUAAACCAAUCCACUUGGAUCAAGCAACGAUAAAAAAGACAAGACCUAGUUGUGUGUGAAGGUGCUGGUGGAUCUCAAAGGCAAAUUCCCAAAUUCGGUGCAGAUGAAAAUUGAAACUCCAAAAAUGGGUGAGAUAAAGUUAAAUAUGAUAAAAAAUCAAUAUGAUUAUGUAUUGAAAUAUUGCCUUGAGUGCAAGAUGCAAGGGCACAAUAAAGAUAACUGUAAAACAGGGGAAAUGGCUAGAAGAAAGGAAGAACCAGCAAAACAGGGGAGCAAAAUCAGUGUAAACAAGAGCAACAUUCUCUAUUACAAAAAGGGAAUGCUAGAAUACUUACAAGUGGAAAAGUUGUUGGAGAUCCGGGUAACUGGAAUGUAGUCAAAGAUAAAAGAGGAGCCAAUAUUGAAAAAAAAAUGCACCCAUCACUGAGGUGGGUAAUAAAUUUGAUGCACUCACAAGAGAAGACGAUACUAACAAAGGGGAGGAGAUCAAUAAGAAUAAAAUAGUCAACACAGAAGAAAACAAAGGCGGAUCAACAAAAGAUUUGGUUACAAAUUCCUUUGGUCUAGUAUUACAAGGUGAAAAACAAAUGGAAGGAGUGCCCAUAAUUAAAUUUGGUGAUCAUAUUGCUACUGAAGUUAGUGUGCAAGAGUGUCAUGACAAGGUGAAACCUAUAAGUAUACACAACAAUCCGAUAAGCAUAAGUUCGCACAGAAAAGGCAGUAAUUCAAGAGAGCAAAUGGAACUUCUGAAGACUAUAAAUAUUCUUGUGAAUGAUUCAGAAUCUUAUUGUGCGAAUUCCAAGAGCCCUGCAAAAUAACCAAAAGAUCAGUUAAAUCAACAAGUGAGUGACAUGAGGAUGGAAAAAGAGACAGUCAGUAGAGGUGAUCAGCUAGCAAAUCAGAGAAUUCAAAUGGAGAUACCUCAAUCUCCGAAUGAGGUACGUCAUGAUAUCCUCAUACACAAAGAGUCAGAAGUUGAGCAGCUGCAAUCAAAUGACAGUCAAUCAGAGGCAAAAAAUGAUCACAUUUAUGGAGAAGCGGAUAUUUCUCCCAGACGUAUUAAAGAAAUGAAGUCUAAAAGCAUGGUAGUGGAGAUUCUAAUCAUCCCAUCAGAUCUUAGCUCAAAAGGCAGGUGACUAACAAACAACAAUGUUCCUUAUGAAAGCACGCAUAUGGAAUAUUAGGCCCGUGAGGACUCAAAAUGCUUUUCAAAGAGUCCAGAUGCUACAUGGCUUUUAUAAAUUCAAUUUUGUUGCGUUGAUGGAGCCAUUUCAGCAUGUAAGAUGUUUGAAUAGAUUUAACAGAAGGCUUAGAAUGACAAAAGGGUAUGCAAAUAAUAAUGGGAAGAUUAGGUUAUUUGUUAAUCAUGGAUUCGAUGUAGUAGAAAUGAGAAACUCUGAACAACAACACAGAUAAGAAAUUUAGCCACUGAUUUUAUUAUGGUUGUUACUAUUAUCUAUGCUAAAUAUGACCCAAAUUAGAGACUAGAGCUUUGGGAGGAUAUAACUCAACUUGCUGAUGGUAUGGAUCACCCAUGGAUCGUAAGUGGAGAUUUCAAUGUGGUUCUUCAUUGGGGGAGAAAAAAUUGGUGGUUUACCAGUAUUGGGGGUUGAUGUGGAAGACUUUCAAAAUUGUAUAGAAUCAAAUGAAUUGUAUCAAGUUCAAUUCAAAGGCAGUCCUUUCACGUGGUGGAAUGAUAAAGUAGACAGUGCUUGCAUAUUUGAGAGACUAGACAUAAUUUUGAUGAAUUAUGUGUUUCAUGGUCAAUUCAAUUUUACAAAAGUGGAGCAUCUUCCAAGAACUGGCUCGGAUCAUGCGCCGCUUCUAUUUUCAUGUGAAAACAUGGAAACAAGGAUCAUUAAACCUUUUAGGUUCUUGAAUUUUUGGACUGAGCAUAGGGGAUUUAAAGAGGUUGUCAGAUUGAAUUGGGAUGAUGAAAUAUCUGUAAAUCCUUUUUUAGAUUUCUUGAGGAAGAUAAAAAAGGUAAAAUAUGCUCUUUCUUUUUGGAGCAAGGAUACCUUUGGAGAUAUCUUUCAGCAGAUCAUUAUCCGAGAGGAAAUAGCUAGAAUAAAGGAAAAAACACUUUGAAGAGUAUCCUUCUCCAGCCCCCAAGGCCUAGCUCAAGUGGCAAAAGGUGGAGGAUUUGUGGCUUAGGUCGCAGGUUCAAGCCCCACACCAUGCAAAGUGAAGCCCGGUAUUUAAGUGGAGAAGGGUAGAGGGGCGGGCCCAUUAUCCACCGAGUUUAGAAGGCUGUGAUUGGUCCAAAGGGCGGGUCACAGACGGAUUUCUCGGUUAUCAAAAAAAAAAAGAUUCAACCCAAAUCAAAUUUGUUUGGUUCAAAAUGGAUUUGAUAAUGAGUUAUAGAACAUGUCAAAACCUAAUACAAUUCAAUUUUUACUAAGUUUUAAUUAUUUUAUUUAUUGUUUUACGAUGUUUAGUGCCUAAUAAUUUUUUUUUGUAAUUAUAACUAUAGAUAACAUAUCAAAUUUAAAAAUAUUUUGAAAGAUUUCUCUCGAGUCAAUUAGGGUUACAUAUCAACCUAAUUGUUAAUAGAUUGAUUUAAAAUAGGUUAAGCAAAUAAAUGUGUAAGUCAAUAACCCACUCAAACUUAAACGUAUUGGACGAAUUGGAUUUGAUUUUGUCCUUCCUAAUUAGGGGGUAGAACACUCCUUAUUUUCUAGCAAGGAGUAAUUUCUUAAAUGGUGUGCUUAAGCUAAAAUCAUUAUCCUUCUCCAGAAAUCAGAGAUAUUAUGCAAAGGGCCAAAGCUAAAUAUUCUAGAUAUCUUCACAUUGAGGAGAAAUUUUGGCAACAACAGGCAAGGUAUGACUAGUUUGAAAGUGGGGAUAGAAAUUCAAGAUUCUUUCAUAGCUUGGUAAAAGGAAGAAGACAAAGAAUGAGAGUAUCUAGAGUGCAAAAUUCACAAGGGCGGUGGCUAGAAAACAAGUAUGAAAUUGCUAAUGAGGCAGUAAGUUAUUUCCAGAGUCAAUUCCACCAAGACAGGGAUGAAACAAACGUUACUCUUCUGGAUCACAUUCCAGUGUUGAUCACUAAAGAGGAGAAUACUGAAUUGGGGUCUGUACCAAAUGAAGAAAAAGUGAAGAAUGCAGUAUAUAAGCUUAAUGUUGAUAGUUCUAGUGGGCCAGAUGGACUUAAAGGUAAAUUCUAUCAAGUGUGUUGGGACAUCAUUGGUAAAGAUAUUUGUAGAAUGGUGCAUGAAUUUUGUUUUGGAAGUUCUUUACCUAAGUCCAUUACUCACACUAAUUUGAUACUUAUAUCGAAAAAGGAUAACAUUCAGUCCUUUUCGGACAUGAGACCUAUUAGUCUGAGUAACUUUAUUAAGAAGAUUCUAUCCAGGAUAAUACAUGAUAGACUGAAAAAGGUUCUUCCAAGAUUGAUUUCUUCUAAUCAGUUUGGCUUUGUUAAGGGUAGAAGCGUUAUUGAGAAUGUCUUGCAGGACCAGGAACUCGUCACAUAUAUUACUAAGAGAGGAAAACCUGAAAAUGUGAUAAUUAAGUUGGAUAUGUCUAAGGCUUAUGAUAAGGUCUCUUGGUUCUUCCUAAUGAAAGUGCUAAGAAAAAUGGUUUUUUCUAAUAGAGUGUUGAUUUGAUUUGGAGGCUACUUGCAAACAACUACUACUCAGUCCUUCUUAAUGGCCAAUCACAUGGUUUUUUUCAUUCUACAAGGGGUGUUAAACAAGGAGAUUCAUUAUCUCCAGCUUUAUUUAUAAUCUCAGUCGAGGUUCUAUCUAGAGCUCUCAAUACACUUUUUGAAGAUCCCCAAUAUGUUGGUUAUGGGUUGCCAAAGUGGAGUGGCAACAUUAAUCAUUUAGCAUUUGUAGAUGACACAAUUAUUUUUACUUCUUCUAAUGGCUAUUAUGGAGAAAAUUAUGUCAAUUCUACAAGACUAUGAGAAACAAUCAGGUUAGAAGAUUAACAAGGAAAAGAGUUCUUAUUAUCUUCACCAGAAUGCAGCAAUAACAAUGGCUAAUCAGAUAGAGCAUAUUACUGGUAUGGUACGAGGAUAUUUCCCUAUGAAAUAUCUAGGAUGCCUCAUUACUCAUGCUAGGAAAAUAAAGGAGCAUUAUUCAGAAUUGUUUGAUCAGAUUAAAGGUAUGCUACAGAGUUGGAAAGGUAGAAUGCUUUCAUAUGGGGUUAAGGAAGUAUUCAUUAUAAGUGUUCUUCAAAGCAUUCCCAUAUAUGUACUUUCUUUUCUUACUCGUCCAAUGUGUGUGAUAAAAGAAUUCAUAGAAUUUUUGCUAAAUUCUACUGGAGCAAUGAGGAAAAUAGCAGAAAUAAACAUUGGUCCAAAUGGAUAAAUGUUUGUCUUCCUAAAAUUGAAGAAGGUUUGGGAUUUAGGUCUAUUUUUGAUGUAUCAAAGGCUAUGUAUGCAAAAAUUUGGUGGAAUUUCAUAACACAGAAUACAAUAUUGUCUAACUUUACGUGGACUAAGUAUUGUAAGAAGCAAAUUCCUGCACUAGUUCAAUGGAAAUGAGGUUCCCAAAUAUGGAAGCACAUGUUGGAAAAUAGGGAUCUUUUGGAAAAACAUAUGUGGUGGGAACCUAGAGGAGGCACUUGUGCUAUAUGGUAUGACAACUGGUCUAACUUGGGUCCCCUACAUAUACAUGAUUCAGAUGUGCACACUUGUUAUCCUAUGAAAGAUACUGCUGAAUUUUUAAAGGAGGGGGGAUGGGACUAUACGUUAAUGAGAGAUUUUGUGCCUGAAUAUGUGGUGGACCAUGUUCACGCAAAUCUCUAUCAUGCGUAUCUCAGUAAUAAAGUUGAUAAAACUUGGUGGACUGAAAUUAGUAAUGGUAAAUUGUUAUGCCCCCCUAACCAGUCGUACUCUGACCAGGCUUCGAAAAACUUCGAGAUCACCGAGUUUCUCGGGAAUCGAGGGGUCAAGAGCCUAAUCAGGUCUAGUAAAAUCAGUUUGGGGACUUUUGAGGAAAAAGAAAGACAAAGUUGAAGACAUGGAAAAAUUAUGGAUAAAAGAAAUUCCAUUCAAAGUCUCAUUCUUAAUGUGGAGGACUUGGUUUGGAAAGAUCUCUGUGGCAUCUUUAAAGCAUAGAUGGAAUUCAGAUUAUUAAAGUGAUUGUAGAUGUUGUGUUAUUCUUGUAGAAGAGACUAUUGAACAUCUCUUUCUUAAUGGAGAAGUAGCUAUCCGAAUAUGGAAAUAUUUUAGGUAUGCAUCAGGAAUCCUAGAUCCUAUGCUUAACCUAAAACAAUCCAUAAGAUUAUGGUGGGAUGUUGAAGGAAAUUAUAGAGUAAAAUUGGUGUGCCAGGCUAUUCCUAAUAUCAUUGUGUGGUUUUUGUGGAAAAGGAGAAAUACUAUUUUACAUGGAGGUGUUUUUCCAGAUUUUAGAGUGAUAUCAGGUGUUAUUGAUACAGUUUUAAAGUUCAUUUAUGUCAGAUUUAAUUUAAACUGUAGCAGCAAUUAUUGGCCUCAUAUUCUCGCAUAAUUGGAGCAAUACAGACCUAAGUUUGAGUAUAAAAUUAUCAGAUGGGAACCUCCUCCUAUUAAUGUGAUGAAGUGUAACAUCAAUGGGGCAUCAAAAGGAAAUCCUGGACCUAGUUCAGCAGAAAUUUGCAUUAGAGAUUAUAAUGGAAAUCUGGUGGCCGCUAAGGGUUUCAAAAUUCAGGAUACUACAAACAUAGUGGCAGAAGCUAGAGCUAUAAGGGAAAGCAUUUCAUAAUAUAGUGAGCAUGGUAUUAAUAAUCUUAUUAUUGAGACAGACUCUCUAGAUAUGGUUCAUAUAAUUGAGGGCGACUGGGAUGUACCCUGGAAUGUGGCAUUGGAAGUCAGUACCAUCAGGAGUUGAGAAGAAGUGUUUUAGCAAGAGUAAAUCAUUUCCUUAGGGAGGAAAAUGCUCUUGCUGAUUUUUUUACUAAUCUAGUUUUCUCUUUUGCAUGUAAUUUUCAGAUCAACCAUUUUCAAGAUAUUCCAAUCGAGGGAAGAAAAUUGCUCAAUCUAGAUAAACAAGGAACACCAUACAUAAGAAGAAAUGUGCAGGAAUAAAGGGACAAACUAACAACAACAACAAACAUUAAAAUCCUCUUCGGAUUAUAAUUAGAUUCGAGCAAGAGUAUAUUUCUAUAAAGCUAAGCUAGUGCUUGAAGUAAAUUCAGUAGAUUUCGGUACUUACCCCUGGUGAGAGCUUGGGGCGUCCAAUGGUACCUAAUCAAGGCAUUAGCUUCUUGUUGAAAUUAGUCCACUCCGAUCGAAUCGACAUAAGCGUAGAAGGGGAAGCAUAAAAAGUUCUCUUUAUUAAGAGUGAUAGUAUUAACUGAUUAAAGGCUUUAAUGGUGGUAUCAAUCCCGUUGGGGUUUAACCCAUUGAGACUUUGAAAAGUUAAUACUAAUGUAAUGAAAAAAGAGAACUGGUAGAGAUACUUAGCUGAUGUACAGGAGAGCUCAGACUUGUGAGUGGUAAAGAAAAUCAGUGGAGCAUCAGGGCAAUUUUAGUCUUGCAAGUUGUAAAGGAAAUCUUACGGGCAAGCGAUUCUUUAGCUCAGAAGAAUUGGACGAACACCCCAUUGUUGAAUCUAUUGUGAGAAGAGUAGAUGAAGGAAUGGCUCUUGGAACUUUCCAAAUCUGCAGAUGGGAGUGUUGUCUUUUUGUUUAUUUGUUUAGUUAUUUCUUUUUUUAUUUUCAUCUUGUUUCUAGAGAAGGUCUUGGGGACUAAUC